AUUGAACGCUGGCGGCAGGCUUAACACAUGCAAGUCGAGCGGGGGAAGGUAGCUUGCUACCGGACCUAGCGGCGGACGGGUGAGUAAUGCUUAGGAAUCUGCCUAUUAGUGGGGGACAACAUCUCGAAAGGGAUGCUAAUACCGCAUACGUCCUACGGGAGAAAGCAGGGGAUCUUCGGACCUUGCGCUAAUAGAUGAGCCUAAGUCGGAUUAGCUAGUUGGUGGGGUAAAGGCCUACCAAGGCGACGAUCUGGAGCGGGUCUGAGAGGAUGAUCCGACACACUGGGACUGAGACACAGCCCAGACUCCUACGGGAGGCAGCAGUGGGGAAGAUUGGACAAUGGGGGGAACCCUGAUCCAGCCAUGCCGCGUGUGUGAAGAAGGCCUUAUGGUUGUAAAGCACUUUAAGCGAGGAGGAGGCUGCUUUAGUUAAUACCUAGAGAUAGUGGACGUUACUCGCAGAAUAAGCACCGGCUAACUCUGUGCCAGCCGCCGCAGUAA
RNAcentral lists this ribosomal RNA (501 nucleotides) under uncultured bacterium. RNAcentral's name for it is "partial 16S ribosomal RNA". It matches the Rfam family "Bacterial small subunit ribosomal RNA", at positions 30 to 523 of the family's 1533-position model. The record is from RNAcentral.